AUGGGGCUGAGCACAGCUCAGCUGUUCGCCCUCCACACCGAUCCCACGGCAGAACCAUUCCAUGCCGGAACACAGAGGGACCCACGACUCAGCGCCGGGGUAGGGGCUGCGCUUCGGGUGGGCUCUCGUUGGAACCCAAAGGAACCUCCAUCCCAUUGCCAGGGGACGGGCAGAGCUUCGGGUGGGGGUCGCACCGCGGUCUCCUGCAGAGGUUUGGGGUUUGGCGGUGGGGAGGGGAAUGCAAUGGAUGGGAAUGUCUUUCCCACGGGAGGGAAGGAAAAGUGUCCCCUCCACGGAGCUGACACCGACCCCAAAGCAGACGACGGAUCCCCACCACCCCCAGCAGCAGCUCCACCCCAUAGCAACAGAUCCCCCCCACGAGCACCGGGACGAUGCUCAGCCCUGGGAGCCCGGCUGGCCCCAGUGGCUGUGGGGCACGAUGUGGGGUGCGCUGUAGGGUGAGCGUGGGCUCUUUGGGGUGCCGACCCCCAUAGGGCGUUCCCAGUGUCCAGGCACCGUUCCCAUGGGAAUUCCCACCUGCCCGGCCCCACGUCACCCAUCGGCGCCCCCCACAGUGGGUGGGACGCCCCACAGGUGGCACAGAGCCACGCUGUGUGUGGGGUGUUGUCUUUGUCUGCUCUCUGAUGUCCCUCAGUAUGGGGUGGUGGGCACAGAAGUGGUGGGAAGAGAGGCUCCGUGCACUCCAAAUGGACGGGCAUCGGAUCAGGAUGUCAGACCCCCUCCUCUCCGUGGGAUUCCCAUCAGGAUGUGAAUCCGAGCUGGGGUUCAUCCCUCCUUGGAUGAAACCCCAAAUCAGCCUUGGGGUGAGCGAUCCCAUGGGAGGAGCACUGUGGGAUGGGUUUGGUCAGCACAAACUCAAUGGCACCACAGCACAAAGGGAUCGGAUCCCACCCCCAGCCCCAAAGGCCCCACAUGCAGCACGUGACCCCAGAGAACCCCAACACUGAGGACCCCAAAUGGACCAUCCAGUGCUGGGGGAGCCCCAAGAACCUGAGACCCGGCUCCAGAGAACCCUAAGAACUGGGGACCCCAAAUGGAGUUCCCAGAGCUGGAGAAGCCUUAAGAACCAGAGACCCCAAAUGGAGUAUCUGGGCUUGGAGAACCCCAAGCAUGGAGACCCCAAAUGGAGCAUCCGGUGUUUGAGGAGCCCCAAGAACAGUAGAUCCCAAAUGGAGUUCCCAGAGCUGGAGAUGCCCUAAUAAAACCAGAGACCCCAAAUGAAUCGCCCCAAGCACCAGGGAACCCAAAUGGAGCACCGGUUGUUGGAGAAGCCUCAAGAAUCAGAGACCCCACAUGGAGCACCUGGCCCUGGACAACCCCAAGAACCAGAGACCCCAAAUGGAGCACCCAGUGUAGGAGGAGCCCCAAGAAACAGAGACCCCAAACGGAUUGCCCAGCCCUGGAGAUCCCCAAGCAUGGGGGACCCCACAUGGCCCACCCGGUGCUGCAGGACCCCCACGGGCACCGAGAGAGGAGCACCACCCCAUAGGGCCGUGUGCCCCACAGGUGGGAUUUCGGGGUCGCCCACCCAACCUGGCGGCCAUCGGCCCCACUGACACCGGCGACCUUCGCUCUCCGCUCCCAACUGCGCCACGACGGGGGGAGCUCCGACCAAAACAAGCACAGGAGAUCCUUGGGG
RNAcentral lists this long non-coding RNA (1660 nucleotides) under Gallus gallus (chicken). RNAcentral's name for it is "lncRNA (ENSGALG00010028817.1)". Lineage: Eukaryota; Metazoa; Chordata; Aves; Galliformes; Phasianidae. The record is from RNAcentral.